GUCGGCAGCCAUACCACCUCGUGCUGUGGUCCAGCGAAGUCUUGGAAGAAGGGUUGGGCCAGUAUAGUACUUGGAUUGGAGACCACCAGGGAAACCUUGAUACUGCAGGAA
RNAcentral lists this ribosomal RNA (111 nucleotides) under Sphenodon punctatus (tuatara). Lineage: Eukaryota; Metazoa; Chordata; Lepidosauria; Sphenodontia; Sphenodontidae. The record is from RNAcentral.